RNAcentral lists this ribosomal RNA (382 nucleotides) under uncultured bacterium. RNAcentral describes it as "bacterial SSU rRNA". It matches the Rfam family "Bacterial small subunit ribosomal RNA", at positions 29 to 414 of the family's 1533-position model. The record is from RNAcentral.
AUUGAACGCUGGCGGAAUGCUUUACACAUGCAAGUCGAACGGCAGCACGGGGCAACCUGGUGGCGAGUGGCGAACGGGUGAGUAAUACAUCGGAACGUGCCCAAUCGUGGGGGAUAACGUAGCGAAAGUUACGCUAAUACCGCAUACGAUCUACGGAUGAAAGCGGGGGAUCGCAAGACCUCGCGCGAAUGGAGCGGCCGAUGUCAGAUUAGGUAGUUGGUGGGGUAAAGGCUCACCAAGCCGACGAUCUGUAGCUGGUCUGAGAGGACGACCAGCCACACUGGGACUGAGACACGGCCCAGACUCCUACGGGAGGCAGCAGUGGGGAAUUUUGGACAAUGGGCGCAAGCCUGAUCCAGCCAUUCCGCGUGCAGGAUGAAGG